Molecule: ribosomal RNA, 100 nt
Filed under: Fasciola gigantica
Lineage: Eukaryota; Metazoa; Platyhelminthes; Trematoda; Plagiorchiida; Fasciolidae
Source: RNAcentral
CCAAUCGUAUUACCUUGGCUACUUCCUUUCUUAUCUGAUCACCGAAGUUUAGUUAUGUCGGGCCUUUUAGUACUUUCCGGGAAUACCGGGUGUUAUGACG